This 1443-nucleotide ribosomal RNA is filed under the name uncultured Ralstonia sp. Its description in RNAcentral is "16S ribosomal RNA". It matches the Rfam family "Bacterial small subunit ribosomal RNA". The record is from RNAcentral. Lineage: Bacteria; Pseudomonadati; Pseudomonadota; Betaproteobacteria; Burkholderiales; Burkholderiaceae.
UUGAUCAUGGCUCAGAUUGAACGCUGGCGGCAUGCCUUACACAUGCAAGUCGAACGGCAGCAUGAUCUAGCUUGCUAGAUUGAUGGCGAGUGGCGAACGGGUGAGUAAUACAUCGGAACGUGCCCUGUAGUGGGGGAUAACUAGUCGAAAGAUUAGCUAAUACCGCAUACGACCUGAGGGUGAAAGUGGGGGACCGCAAGGCCUCAUGCUAUAGGAGCGGCCGAUGUCUGAUUAGCUAGUUGGUGAGGUAAAGGCUCACCAAGGCGACGAUCAGUAGCUGGUCUGAGAGGACGAUCAGCCACACUGGGACUGAGACACGGCCCAGACUCCUACGGGAGGCAGCAGUGGGGAAUUUUGGACAAUGGGGGCAACCCUGAUCCAGCAAUGCCGCGUGUGUGAAGAAGGCCUUCGGGUUGUAAAGCACUUUUGUCCGGAAAGAAAUCGCACUUACUAAUAUUAGGUGUGGAUGACGGUACCGGAAGAAUAAGGACCGGCUAACUACGUGCCAGCAGCCGCGGUAAUACGUAGGGUCCAAGCGUUAAUCGGAAUUACUGGGCGUAAAGCGUGCGCAGGCGGUUGUGCAAGACCGAUGUGAAAUCCCCGGGCUUAACCUGGGAAUUGCAUUGGUGACUGCACGGCUAGAGUGUGUCAGAGGGGGUAGAAUUCCACGUGUAGCAGUGAAAUGCGUAGAGAUGUGGAGGAAUACCGAUGGCGAAGNCAGCCCCCNUGGGAUAACACUGACGCUCAUGCACGAAAGCGUGGAGAGCAAACAGGAUUAGAUACCCUGGUAGUCCACGCCCUAAACGAUGUCAACUAGUUGUUGGGGAUUCAUUUCCUUAGUAACGUAGCUAACGCGUGAAGUUGACCGCCUGGGGAGUACGGUCGCAAGAUUAAAACUCAAAGGAAUUGACGGGGACCCGCACAAGCGGUGGGUGAUGUGGAUUAAUUCGAUGCAACGCGAAAAACCUUACCUACCCUUGACAUGCCACCAACGAAGCAGAGAUGCAUUAGGUGCUCGAAAGAGAAAGUGGACACAGGUGCUGCAUGGCUGUCGUCAGCUCGUGUCGUGAGAGGUUGGGUUAAGUCCCGCAACGAGCGCAACCCUUGUCUCUAGUUGCUACGAAAGGGCACUCUAGAGAGACUGCCGGUGACAAACCGGAGGAAGGUGGGGAUGACGUCAAGUCCUCAUGGCCCUUAUGGGUAGGGCUUCACACGUCAUACAAUGGUGCAUACAGAGGGUUGCCAAGCCGCGAGGUGGAGCUAAUCCCAGAAAAUGCAUCGUAGUCCGGAUCGUAGUCUGCAACUCGACUACGUGAAGCUGGAAUCGCUAGUAACCGCGGAUCAGCAUGCCGCGGUGAAUACGUUCCCGGGUCUUGUACACACCGCCCGUCACACCAUGGGAGUGGGUUUUGCCAGAAGUAGUUAGCCUAACCGCAAGGGGGG